This 326-nucleotide ribosomal RNA is filed under the name uncultured Sandona. RNAcentral's name for it is "SSU rRNA". The stretch from base 45 to 326 matches the Rfam family "Eukaryotic small subunit ribosomal RNA", at positions 673 to 955 of the family's 1831-position model. The record is from RNAcentral. Lineage: Eukaryota; Cercozoa; Glissomonadida.
CUGGCCCGGUGAGCGUCGCCUUGUGUGGCGUUUCAUUCGCGUGCUAGAUCUUUGACCUUCCAUCCUUUCCAGGGAGCCUUGUGUGCCGUUUACUCGGUGCGCUUGUUUUGCGAUCUGGAUCAUUUACUUUGAAAAAAUUAGAGUGUUUCAAGCAGGCUUUAUGCUAUGAAUACAUUAGCAUGGAAUAAUAAUUUAGGACUUCGGUUCUAUUUUGUUGGUUUCUAGGACUGAAGUAAUGAUUGAUAGGGAUAGUUGGGGGUGCUAGUAUUCAGCGGCCAGAGGUGAAAUUCUCGGAUUCGCUGAAGACUAACUUAUGCGAAAGCAUU